Molecule: long non-coding RNA, 1561 nt
Filed under: Musa acuminata (dwarf banana)
Lineage: Eukaryota; Viridiplantae; Streptophyta; Magnoliopsida; Zingiberales; Musaceae
Description: long non-coding RNA (MACU_LNC010537)
Source: RNAcentral
UCACACAGUUCCGAGGCAUAACGACAUUGCCUAGAUAGGGUCCUUUGCUUGACAAGUUACAUCAUAAACAAACAAGUAAAACAUCUAAAUUGAAAUACAAAGACCAAGCGGACAAUAUACCACAACAAUUGCACAAUGAUCCAUGAACACCUUGGUAUUCGAGACAAGAACGCAUAAAUAAAUGCUUAAUACUUAAAUGUAACGAGAUCGAAAGCGGUACUCUAAACCGGGUGGAGACAACACUGGGUAAACCAGGAUUAUUAUGGAUAUUGACUAAACAGUCUUGGUGAUAGAUCAAUAAUCACUAACUGAUAGAUGCGGAAUUAUUUUCAAUUGCAUAAGUCGUUCGAACGCUAACUCGAAGUAAAUCAUACCUUGCAACUGGCAGAGAGGAUGGCUUUGGGGUGACCACAUCGUGUAAGAAAAUAGUACCUUAGUAUGAUGCAGACGAUUCCCGUAGAUGUGUGCCUCAGUAUGUUCACUAUGCUUCCGAAUUGCCACGAAUAUUGGUGGAUCAUGAUUGUAGAAGGUACUGAUCAGGAAGUUCAUGGAAUCGUCCCGAAAACCGUGCAAGAAAUCUGGAGGGCGGAGUAGAUGGAGGGGAACAAAAUACACACCGUGGGGAGAACCCGGGGUUCUAAAAUCACCCCAUGCGAUCUCCCCAAGAACACAAAAAAACUUCUUUUUUUAUUAUGUUUCUUUGACCUGCCAUGCGAGCGCACCCAACAUGGCAAAGGUCGGUGUGACAAAAGAAUAGAUGGACUGAACAUGUCCCUAAUUUACCUUACCCUCGAUGGAGAUUUCCGGCUUUGCAGAUGCUCUACAUCAGAAAGAACCCCAUAUUAACAUCUCUAGUUCUAUGUACUUAAAACGAGAGACAUGAUGAGGAUCCGUCCACCAACAACCUCGUCUGAAACAUAUAUCUUCGUCUCCCGAUGCGCCGCGUAAAAAACAAGGUCCAAUUAGGGUAUGAAUGAACACCAGCUGGAACGAGAUACACGAUCAUAGGCUGUUGCAGCUCCAUUCACGAACCCCGAAGCUCUGCACGAACCCCAGCAUCCUGCAAUCGGCUGCAAAAAUUUUAUACCUGUAGAGACGUAAAAUUGAAAGUUGAAGUAGGAAAGAACAGGGAUUAAAGAAACACAAAAUCAGCAGUUCGAUGUAGGCUCUACCAGAUCGUCAAGAAUACAACCAACCAAAAUAACAACAGAAUCGGAAAAUAUAUGUUACUAGAACCAUAAAUUUAUUCUCCAACACAGUUAGAAUAGAGGGAAGAAAACUCCGAUAGAUCGAGGAACAGAACAAGAAGAAAAAAAGAUAUAAGGCAAACUAACCAGUUACCGCUUCAAAAUCAUAGAUCGGCUACCAAAGCCGCCGAAACAUCAUAUGGCCAUGUAUCGAAGACGGAAACCUCCAAAUAAUCAAAUCGGGCAUGAUCGAUGAUCGGUGUCGCCGAAACAUCAGAUCGGCCGUGUAUCGGCGAACAGAGUGGCUCAACCAUCAGAUCGGACACAAAAGAUUGGGACGGAAACCCAAGGGGGGAACGAGAACCAAUAGUAGG